UGUUGUUUAUGUCCAUGACCAAACUCCUCUGCCAAAACCUUCCCUUCGUGAAAAUUCAUGAAAAACUCAUUUUCUCCUGAACGCUCCUCAGUGAAAAACCUAGGCUCCAAAACUCAUGUUCGCAAACAAAAACCCAAAGAUUCAUCUCUUCUCCGCCACUACCAAGGGCUGGCGGCCUCCUCCACUUCAUCACCACCGACCUCCCUCAUUCUCUUCCUCUACCCGAUUGGGAGAGGACAAGCUUCCUCUUCCACCUCCAUCUCAUCCACAUCCGACGCUAAUGCACACAAUAGGAGCUUCAUCCUAGAAUCCGCUAGCCAUCUCAUCUCCUCUACCAUCUUCCUCAUCGCUGACGAAAAGGUCUUCUCACAGAGCUUCCGGAUCUGAAAGCCAUCUCAUAGUGCCUUCUUCCUCAGCCCAUAGCCUUCUCCCAUUUGGGAGAGGCACCAUCGCCGAACUCUACAUCACCCUCUCCUGAUUGGUAGAGCUUUCUUCGCCACCACUGGUUUCCUUCCACCUCUCCAUUUCGGAUUUGAAGAGUAAAGCUUCAUCACUAGCCGGAGCCGUUUCCUCUUCAGAUUCGAAGAGGAGAGUUCAUCCAUCCUUUCGACAACCUCUUUCUCUUCAGAUUUGAAGAGAAGAGUUCGUUCUCCAUCGACGAGCAGCCAUCCACUUCAUCCAUAGCCUUCGUCGACAGAUUGGCCAUCGGAGAAGCUCCAUCCAACAACCCCCUCUCCACUUCAGAUUCGAAGAGGAGAGCUAUAUUUCGAUCCGUGUCUACCACAUUGGGUUAUUUCUAUCUAUGUUGGAUUAUGUUAUGCUUGUUGAUUGUUGGAUUAUACGCAGCUAUUCUCCCAUGUUUAGAAUUGCAUGUAUUUUGCUUAAUUGAAUUCUCGCUCGUUUUGUGUUUGAUGAAAUGCCUCUUUCAUUAGUUAGUUUCUAAACUUGCAUCUUCUUUGGUUUGAAUUCUUGUGAUGGUUAGUUAGUUGAAUGUUUUAGGUUAGAUUAGUUGAAUUUUGACAAAUUUAUUCAUGUGGAAGCUUAUUUCUAAUAUUUUCUAAAUUUUUGCGACUCAAAUUUAUUCAACUUGUCUAUUACCUUGCCUAGACUCAAAUUGCCUUGAAUGGAGUUCAAUUAGGUGGGUUAGGAUUCAUGUACCAAACACCAAAUACCUGGAAUUAGCUUGUCUUGUUGUGAUUUUGGAUAUCUCCACUAUUAAUUUCAUAAUUUUCAAGCAUGUAGUUAUGUAUAGCUUUUUUAUUUUUUUUAUUGUUGUUAAACCUAAUAUAUCUAGCAUGAUGCUUUUCCAUAGAAUGACAAGGCCUGUGGGGAGAAAUGGAAAACAAUGUCAUUUGAGGUUAGAUCUUUCAUCUUUUUAUACACCAAUGCAUAUGAUUUAGUUUUGUUUGGUAUAAGAAAAAUGCUAUAAUACAUAUAGACAUCUAAUUGCAAACAUGAAUGAUUCAAGGCAACUAAGAUUAUGAAAGAGAUAGAAGGGUAUUGUUAUUGUAUGAGAUUGGUGACAGAGACAAGGCCAUUGCUGAGAUGGAGGAUGUUUCCAUUUCUCUAAAGGGAUACCCAGGUACUUCUUCAAGAUUAAUUCUAUGCUUCAUAUAAUACAUCUUUUACAAGUUUUUAUAAGAGGUAUCUUUCAUCCCGCAGAGAUACAUGCAGCUCUAGCUGCAUCAUUGUAUGCUAACAAGCAUGCUGCACUCCUUGCUGAGAACCAGUUUACAAUUGCCACUCUUUAGAUCCUCAUUAUACUAAUCUUUCAAUGUCAGGGAAACUAAGCAUUGACCUCCAAUCUUGAUCAAUUCCUUGUAGCAUUUCAUCACAAUUUCCUAACAAGCUUCAAUAUCUUGCUUGGUUGAUAAAUGGUGAUGCAUUAAGUCUUUUUCAAUGCAGAUGUUAAUUUGGCCAGAAACAAAUUUUGUGUGCCACUUCUAAAGGACAUCAUAUCACAAGUAAAUUCUAAAGGAUACAUAUGAUAAACUUGUUUAAGUUGAUUACAUAUGAUUUUUCUUCUUCAUUGCAAGCAACUUUUAUGUGAGAUAUAAAUUUUUAGAAUCAUAUCUCUCUCUCUCUCUCUCUCUCUAUAUAUAUAUAUAUAUAUAUUACUUCAGUCUGCAUUGCUGAUAACACACAUGCUAAACAUACAAUUUUUACUUUAAGCCUCAUCUCAAGCGCAACGAGAAAGCCACAUAUAAUCAGAGCUAAGUGAUGUUCAAAAUUGCUUGCAUGAUGCUCUUUGAGGAGACAUUGAUAAGCGAAGAGGAGGAAGAAGCACUACUUGAUUAUAAUAUGGAGGAUUAAGAUGCAGAAUAUAGAAAAAUGAAAGUCCAUAGUUGCAUAUAUCAAGAGAGAGGUUCAUCAUCAUUUAUCUCCAGUUUCUUAGAAAAUUGCAUGGGCCUAAUAACCUUUCUUUUUUGUUAAAAUUUGCUUGAAAAUGGAGAGUUCUCUAAUGAAUCUAAUGACUUUGAGUGAUUGGUAAGGAUGUUGGAUAUGUAUUUGCGAGAAAAAAGAGUUCUCUAAUGAAUCCAAACUUACGUGUUGCUUAAGUAUUUUUACCUUAAGCUUUUUGAUCUUUCACCAAUCUAUGUUUGUUUUCUUUGAUACACAGGUUUGUUCUGCCUUUGUGCAACUUAUAGAAGUUUGACCAUCAUUCCUAGAGUGCCUUUAGAUAUUUUGAAGGUGAAUGGAGGUAGAAACUCCAGCUAAAUAGCUCGGGUAUGGAUGAUUACAAGAGCAACAACUACAUGAUAUGUGGCAUUGCAUCUGAACCUUAGGGGUGUGAUUGGAAAGUACUUCAACGAAAAACUAUCAAAAAGGCUUUGGGAUUUAAGUGAGAAGAUGGUUAAAAUUAAUGAGUAAAGAACAUUCAAGUCAAGAGAAUAAGUAGCAUCUAUCAAGAUCCUUUAAGUACAUGUAAUCAGAUGUACUCGAUAGGAGUAGUUUUGAGUGUCCUAAUUAAAAUUUCUUUGUAUGCAAGUAAUUAUAUUUGUUAUAGAAGUGUAAGGAUGAUAAUUUGUAUAUUUAUCUUGGUUGUGUAUUUAAUAACAUGUCAUUGAUUGAA
Zingiber officinale is the source of this 3073-nucleotide long non-coding RNA. RefSeq lists it as uncharacterized. The transcript is spliced from 2 exons. Lineage: Eukaryota; Viridiplantae; Streptophyta; Magnoliopsida; Zingiberales; Zingiberaceae. The record is from RefSeq and is a predicted model, not a curated record.